This 253-nucleotide ribosomal RNA is filed under the name uncultured bacterium. RNAcentral describes it as "partial 16S ribosomal RNA". It matches the Rfam family "Bacterial small subunit ribosomal RNA", at positions 524 to 776 of the family's 1533-position model. The record is from RNAcentral.
UACGUAGGGUGCAAGCGUUGUCCGGAAUUAUUGGGCGUAAAGAGCUCGUAGGCGGUCUGUCGCGUCGGAUGUGAAAACUCGGGGCUCAACCCCGAGCCUGCAUUCGAUACGGGCAGACUAGAGUUCGGUAGGGGAGACUGGAAUUCCUGGUGUAGCGGUGAAAUGCGCAGAUAUCAGGAGGAACACCAAUGGCGAAGGCAGCUCGCUGGGACGUUACUGACGCUGAGACGCGAAAGCGUGGGGAGCAAACAGG